CCCGUGGUGGUCAAUUUUAGGAGUUUGGCCGGCCCGCAGCGAUACUGACGUGCAAAUCGUUCGUCUGACUUGGGUAUAGGGGCGAAAGACUAAUCGAACCGUCUAGUAGCUGG
RNAcentral lists this non-coding RNA (113 nucleotides) under Ipomoea nil (Japanese morning glory). Its description in RNAcentral is "Eukaryotic large subunit ribosomal RNA". It matches the Rfam family "Eukaryotic large subunit ribosomal RNA", at positions 836 to 954 of the family's 3401-position model. The record is from Rfam by way of RNAcentral. Lineage: Eukaryota; Viridiplantae; Streptophyta; Magnoliopsida; Solanales; Convolvulaceae.